GUGUUGUAUGAAAGGAGAGAAGGUUAGCCCUCCCCUUAACAAACACAGAGUUCCUGGCAUCUCACUAUGUUUUUAU
Homo sapiens (human) is the source of this 76-nucleotide small nuclear RNA. The record is from Ensembl. Lineage: Eukaryota; Metazoa; Chordata; Mammalia; Primates; Hominidae.